GAUGAACGCUGGCGGCGUGCUUAACACAUGCAAGUCGAACGAGAAGUGAAGACGGAAACCUUCGGGCGGAAGGCUUUAUUUCGAGUGGCGGACGGGUGAGUAACGCGUGGUUAACCUGCCUCAUACAGGGGGAUAACAGUUGGAAACGACUGUUAAUACCGCAUAAGACCACAGCACCGCAUGGUGCGGGGGUAAAAACUCCGGUGGUAUGAGAUGGACCCGCGUUCGAUUAGCCAGUUGGCGGGGUAACGGCACACCAAAGCGACGAUCGAUAGCCGAUCUGAGAGGAUGACCGGCCACAUUGGGACUGAGACACGGCCCAAACUCCUACGGGAAGCAGCAGUGGGGAAUAUUGCACAAUGGGGGAAACCCUGAUGCAGCGACGCCGCGUGAGUGAAGAAGUAUUUCGGUAUGUAAAGCUCUAUCAGCAGGGAAGAAAAUGACGGUACCUGAGUAAGAAGCCCCGGCUAACUACGUG
RNAcentral lists this ribosomal RNA (478 nucleotides) under uncultured bacterium. RNAcentral describes it as "partial 16S ribosomal RNA". It matches the Rfam family "Bacterial small subunit ribosomal RNA", at positions 28 to 507 of the family's 1533-position model. The record is from RNAcentral.